Molecule: ribosomal RNA, 539 nt
Filed under: uncultured bacterium
Lineage: Bacteria
Description: bacterial SSU rRNA
Rfam family: Bacterial small subunit ribosomal RNA
Source: RNAcentral
AAUAGAUACCCCGGUAGUCCACGCCGUAAACGAUGAGUGCUAAGUGUUAGAGGGUUUCCGCCCUUUAGUGCUGAAGUUAACGCAUUAAGCACUCCGCCUGGGGAGUACGGCCGCAAGGCUGAAACUCAAAGGAAUUGACGGGGGCCCGCACAAGCGGUGGAGCAUGUGGUUUAAUUCGAAGCAACGCGAAGAACCUUACCAGGUCUUGACAUCCUCUGACAACCCUAGAGAUAGGGCGUUCUCCUUCGGGAGCAGAGUGACAGGUGGUGCAUGGUUGUCGUCAGCUCGUGUCGUGAGAUGUUGGGUUAAGUCCCGCAACGAGCGCAACCCUUGAUCUUAGUUGCCAUCAUUAAGUUGGGCACUCUAAGGUGACUGCCGGUGACAAACCGGAGGAAGGUGGGGAUGACGUCAAAUCAUCAUGCCCCGUUAUGACCUGGGCUACACACGUGCUACAAUGGACGGUACAAAGAGUUGCAAGACCGCGAGGUGGAGCUAAUCUCAUAAAACCGUUCUCAGUUCGGACUGUAGGCUGAAACUCG